CAGGGCUGUGAACAUCAAUAGGCAGUGCCUGUCGGAACUCCCAAGGACUCUCCUAGGUAUUUUCCUUCUACCAUCUUCUCCCACAGACUUCCUCUACCUUUGGAUAGAUGCAAACUCGCAUUUGCAACUAUACACAUAUAGAGCACAUAUGCCAAAUCUAAGCAGAUUUCGCCAAAUUAGAAGGUUUAGAUAGGAUCAAGGAUCCCCGUAAUAAUCAAAACGUCUAGGAUACAAUUUU
RNAcentral lists this long non-coding RNA (238 nucleotides) under Pan troglodytes (chimpanzee). RNAcentral describes it as "long non-coding RNA NONPTRT011169". The record is from RNAcentral. Lineage: Eukaryota; Metazoa; Chordata; Mammalia; Primates; Hominidae.